Molecule: small RNA, 147 nt
Filed under: Candidatus Pseudogracilibacillus intestinigallinarum
Lineage: Bacteria; Bacillati; Bacillota; Bacilli; Caryophanales; Bacillaceae
Description: Listeria sRNA rli38
Rfam family: Listeria sRNA rli38
Source: RNAcentral
UUGAGUGGGAAUAAUAAGUUAACUUGAUUUGGUGAGAGAACACCUAUUUAACAGCAUUUAAAUUGAUUUAAAACGGAUAAAAAGAUAUAAAAAGAUAUGGUUCCCUACCAAAAACCCUACCAAUUAAAUUUUCUGGUAGGGUUUUUU